This 460-nucleotide ribosomal RNA is filed under the name uncultured bacterium. RNAcentral's name for it is "partial 16S ribosomal RNA". It matches the Rfam family "Bacterial small subunit ribosomal RNA", at positions 338 to 795 of the family's 1533-position model. The record is from RNAcentral.
CCUACGGGUGGCAGCAGUGAGGAAUAUUGGUCAAUGGACUAGAGUCUGAACCAGCCAAGUCGCGUGAAGGAUGACUGCCCUAUGGGUUGUAAACUUCUUUUAUAUGGGAAUAAAAUGUUCCACGUGUGGGAUUUUGUAUGUACCAUAUGAAUAAGGAUCGGCUAACUCCGUUCCAGCAGCCGCGGGAAUACGGAGGAUCCGAGCUUUAGCCGGAUUUAUUGGGUUUAAAGGGAGCGUAGGUGGAUAGUUAAGUCAGUUGUGAAAGUUUGCGGCUCAAAAGUAAAAUUGCAGUUGAAACUGGCAGUGUUGAGUACAGUAGAGGUGGGCGGAAUUCGUGGUGUAGCGGUGAAAUGCUUAGAUAUCACGAAGAACUCCGAUUGCGAAGGCAGCUCACUGGCCUGCAACUGACACUGAGGCUCGAAAGUGUGGGUAUCAAACAGGAGUAGAUACCCGGGUAGUC